AAAAAAAAAAUCAUUCAUUCACUGGAAAUUGUAUAUCAAAAACAAAAGACAAGAGUCAUCAAACUAUUCUUUUUGACUCUCUUCUAUAGGAUUUAGGAGCCCUAAACUCCCCAGGAGCUUCACUCUUUCCAAUUUUUUUUUUUACAGAAAAUCUACAUCCAAGUCAUUCUGGUAAUAAGGUUCUUGCUUGGUUCUGCAAUUCUGGCCACGCUCAGAAGAAAGACUCUUGUGUCUGAAUUCCUGCCUCUGCUCUGAGUCCCCCAUGCCACACCCCGCUGUGCUCUAUGGUGUGUGCCUUUGAUGACAGUCGGGAAGAAGAAAGUACUUAUUCAUCACAGCACCCCCUGAAAGACUGCCAGGAACUUGUGAAAUAACAAUGGAAAGCCCCAGGAAUCACAGCUGCAGCUGGGCUCUCCAUCCCACUGCCUGGAGUUGGGGCCUUCAGGGCUGCUGUGGGCAGACCCUUCUGGUCAGGUGUUGAAGAGGGACAAGCAACGGUGAGAACUCAGUUUGGAGUCAGUCUGGGCUCCUUGUCCUGGACAGAGGUAACAGUAGGAGUGAUUGAUGUAACAAAUGCAUCAAACUGAUGAGACUGCCUGUGUAAGCCUGUAUCUUCCAUUUGAGCCCCAGUGAAUAUUCCCCAUCCUGGGGAACCUUGUUGCUUUGCCCAGGGGAAAUUCUCAGAACCUAUGUCAGGCCAGGCUGGAGGACUAAACUUUGUAAGUAUAUGCCAGGGGCUAUUCUAAGUGUUUUCACGCAGCCCUGUACGUAUGACACCAUGCCAGUUUUACAGCAGAGGUACCGAGGCAUGGAGCAGUGAAGAAUCUUGCCCAAGGUCACAUAGCUUACGAGGAAAGGGAAGCCUCUCAGUGUAUAACUCAAGGUAAUGUGUAAAAACAAUGCUUUUACCUGUUCAGGCAGGAGCUCUCCCUCAUAACUUACCAGUCCGCCUGGGGCUCCAUUGGCUCACCUGGACCAGGCCAGUGUGUGGCAGCCUUAGCUGUAGAUUGCUGGGGCCACACCUCCUGGCUUGAGCCCCCAUUGAAGAAGGUGAGCCAGUUGUUCAUUUAUCAUAGUUAAGGACUUCCAACUGCCCAGCCUCCUGCUGGACAGGAAACAGAACUCACCUGGAUUCCGACAUCAUUCUGCUAAGGACAUACCCAGGGACAGCUUGCCCUCUCCACUCCAGCCUCUUUAAUAACCAGGACUAGAGUGUCAUCUACUUCGGAAGGGCUCAUUCACCUUGCUGAUACCCUCUCCCCGCCCCCAAUACUGUGGAAAUGAGUGUUGUUUGUUCCCAACAAUAUUCGGCUUUGGGAGAA
Long non-coding RNA from Cercocebus atys (sooty mangabey), 1322 nucleotides. RefSeq lists it as uncharacterized. Lineage: Eukaryota; Metazoa; Chordata; Mammalia; Primates; Cercopithecidae. The record is from RefSeq and is a predicted model, not a curated record. The transcript is spliced from 2 exons.